CCACGCCCCGUCAGGGCCCGGCGUGUGAUGUUCCCCUCCCUGUGUCCCAUGUGUUCUCGCUGUUCAACUCCCACUUAGGAGCGAGAACAUGCGGUGUUUGGUUUUCGCUUCCUGUGUCAGUUUGCUGAGAAUGAGGCCUUCCAGCUUCAUCCACGUUCCCGCAGAGGUCAUGAACUCAUCCUUUUUUAUGGCUGCGUAGUAAUUCCAUGCUGUAUACGUGCCACACUUUCUUUAUCCAGCCUAUCAUUCAUGGGCAUUCGAGUUGGUUCCAAGUCUUUGCUAUUGUAAAUAGUGCUGCAGUAAACAUACGUGUCCACGUGUCUUCCUAGUAGGAACUUCUUCCUCUUCAGCCCGCUGAGUAGCUGGCACUUUAAGGCAGGUGCCAACGCACCGGCAGCAAGCUUCCUUUUUUGCCCGGGAAAAACUGAGGUGCAGGUAGUAUAAGCCAUUGAUCACGGAACGCACAGGAGCAGAGUCGAGUCCAAGCAUCGUGGCUCCACCCGUCAUGCUGGAUGCAUCUUUAGGCUCCGCUCUAGGUAUGUGUAUCCUUUACGGGAUCAGCCACCGGCAGUUGCCUUGCGAGCACGAUGACAAACCUCUGCCGGCUCUUUUGGGUCUCAUCCCUGUAUCUAUACGUUGCAUCCCAACAUAAAGACCGGAAUGUUCCUUUCGCUGACCCAGUCUCUCACCCUUUCCAAACUCCAGAAAUCUUGUCUGUCCUCGGAAGAACUCCCCCUGCUUCUUUCUCUAAAGGCUGUCUUCAGGCCGGGCACAGUGGGAGGAUCGCUUGAGCCCAGAAGGCCGCAGUGAGGUGAGAUCGCGCCAUUGCACUGCAGCCCCCGGCGGCAGAGCCGGAGCCCCGUCUCGAAACAAACAAACAAAAACCAACCAACCAACCAACCAACCAACAAACAAACACAGACAAAGAAAGAAAGAGCCCAGGCAACCUAGUGAAAACCUGUUCGGGCUGGGGCGUACCUGUACCCCAGCUGUUCCGGAGGCUGAGGCCAGGAGGAUGGGUGGACGCUGGGAGGUGGAUGCUGCAGUGAGCAGUGAUUGCACCACUGCACUCCAGCCUGGGUGACAGAGCCAGACCCCGUCCCAAAUAAAUAAACAUAAAAAUAAAGGAACCAGUUUGUAGAAAGCGGGAGAGGGUCCCAUUGAACUUCAAGCCUUCGAGCAACAGCUGUGGCUGGA
This 1197-nucleotide long non-coding RNA is filed under the name Homo sapiens (human). RNAcentral describes it as "HSALNT0389911". The record is from RNAcentral. Lineage: Eukaryota; Metazoa; Chordata; Mammalia; Primates; Hominidae.